RNAcentral lists this ribosomal RNA (274 nucleotides) under uncultured bacterium. RNAcentral describes it as "partial 16S ribosomal RNA". It matches the Rfam family "Bacterial small subunit ribosomal RNA", at positions 523 to 796 of the family's 1533-position model. The record is from RNAcentral.
AUACGAAGGGGGCUAGCGUUGUUCGGAAUUACUGGGCGUAAAGCGCGCGUAGGCGGACUGAUCAGUUGGGGGUGAAAUCACAGGGCUUAACCCUGGAACUGCCUCCAAUACUGUCAGUCUUGAGUUCGGGAGAGGUGAGUGGAAUUCCUAGUGUAGAGGUGAAAUUCGUAGAUAUUAGGAAGAACACCAGUGGCGAAGGCGGCUCACUGGCCCGAUACUGACGCUGAGGCGCGAAAGCGUGGGGAGCAAACAGGAUUAGAUACCCUAGUAGUCC